GGGCAAAAGUUAGGCAAGACUUUGGCAAAGCUUGAAUCCAAGUUUUGCCAAAGUUUUGCCCAACUUUUGCCC
Molecule: microRNA precursor, 72 nt
Organism: Caenorhabditis elegans
Lineage: Eukaryota; Metazoa; Nematoda; Chromadorea; Rhabditida; Rhabditidae
Rfam family: mir-266 microRNA precursor family
Source: Rfam